This 460-nucleotide ribosomal RNA is filed under the name uncultured bacterium. RNAcentral's name for it is "partial 16S ribosomal RNA". It matches the Rfam family "Bacterial small subunit ribosomal RNA", at positions 338 to 795 of the family's 1533-position model. The record is from RNAcentral.
CCUACGGGCGGCAGCAGUGAGGAAUAUUGGUCAAUGGACGAGAGUCUGAACCAGCCAAGUAGCGUGAAGGAUGACUGCCCUAUGGGUUGUAAACUUCUUUUAUAUGGGAAUAAAAUGUUCCACGUGUGGGUUUUUGUAUGUACCAUAUGAAUAAGGAUCGGCUAACUCCGUGCCAGCAGCCGCGGUAAUACGGAGGAUCCGAGCGUUAUCCGGAUUUAUUGGGUUUAAAGGGUGCGUAGGUGGAUUGUUAAGUCAGUUGUGAAAGUUUGCGGCUCAACCGUAAAAUAGCAGUUGAAACUGGCAGUCUUGAGUAUAGUAGAGGUGGGCGGAAUUCGUGGUGUAGCGGUGAAAUGCUUAGAUAUUACGAAGAACUCCGAUUGCGAAGGCAGCUCACUGGACUGCAACUGACACUGAGGCACGAAAGUGUGGGUAUCAAACAGGAUUAGAUACCCUAGUAGUC